ACCAGAAUGGCCGAGUGGUUACGGUGUCAGACUUAAGAUCCGAUGGAUUCAUAUCUGAGUGGGUUUGAACCCCACUUCUAGUA
RNAcentral lists this transfer RNA (83 nucleotides) under Callithrix jacchus (white-tufted-ear marmoset). It matches the Rfam family "tRNA". Rfam says of the family: Transfer RNA (tRNA) molecules are approximately 80 nucleotides in length. Their secondary structure includes four short double-helical elements and three loops (D, anti-codon, and T loops). Further hydrogen bonds mediate the characteristic L-shaped molecular structure. tRNAs have two regions of fundamental functional importance: the anti-codon, which is responsible for specific mRNA codon recognition, and the 3' end, to which the tRNAs corresponding amino acid is attached (by aminoacyl-tRNA synthetases). tRNAs cope with the degeneracy of the genetic code in two manners: having more than one tRNA (with a specific anti-codon) for a particular amino acid; and 'wobble' base-pairing, i.e. permitting non-standard base-pairing at the 3rd anti-codon position. The record is from Rfam by way of RNAcentral. Lineage: Eukaryota; Metazoa; Chordata; Mammalia; Primates; Cebidae.